RNAcentral lists this ribosomal RNA (378 nucleotides) under uncultured bacterium. RNAcentral describes it as "bacterial SSU rRNA". It matches the Rfam family "Bacterial small subunit ribosomal RNA", at positions 28 to 407 of the family's 1533-position model. The record is from RNAcentral.
GACGAACGCUGGCGGCGUGCUUAACACAUGCAAGUCGAGCGGUAAGGCCCUUUCGGGGGUACACGAGCGGCGAACGGGUGAGUAACACGUGGGUGACCUGCCCUCAGCUCUGGGAUAAGCCUGGGAAACCGGGUCUAAUACCGGAUAUGACUCCAUGACGCAUGUUGUGGGGUGGAAAGCCUUGUGCGGCUGAGGAUGGGCCCGCGGCCUAUCAGCUUGUUGGUGGGGUGAUGGCCUACCAAGGCGACGACGGGUAGCCGGCCUGAGAGGGCGACCGGCCACACUGGGACUGAGACACGGCCCAGACUCCUACGGGAGGCAGCAGUGGGGAAUCUUGCGCAAUGGGCGAAAGCCUGACGCAGCGACGCCGCGUGAGGG